AGAUUGAACGCUGGCGGCAUGCCUAACACAUGCAAGUCGAACGGGAGUAGCAAUACUCUAGUGGCGGACGGGUGAGGAAUACGUAGGAAUUUGCCCUUAAGUGGGGGAUAACCCGGGGAAACCCGGAUUAAUACCGCAUGACCUCGAAAGAGCAAAGUGGGGGAUCGCAAGACCUCACGCUUUUGGAGAAGCCUACGUCGGAUUAGCUAGUUGGUGAGGUAAUGGCUCACCAAGGCGACGAUCCGUAACUGGUCUGAGAGGAUGAUCAGUCACACCGGACUGAGACACGGUCCGGACUCCGUACGGAGGCAGCGAGGUGGGAAUAGUUGGACAAGUGGGCACAAGCCUGACUCCGAGCAAUCGACCGCGUUGGUGGUAGAAGGAA
Molecule: ribosomal RNA, 385 nt
Filed under: uncultured soil bacterium
Lineage: Bacteria
Description: bacterial SSU rRNA
Rfam family: Bacterial small subunit ribosomal RNA
Source: RNAcentral